GAACCCGGAAGUGAAGCGAUAAGACGCACGGUGUUCUGGGAGGAGUUACGCAGGCAGGGUUGUGGUUGCUGGCUGUUACCAGGACAACCGGAGGCGAUUGACCGUUAUCUGCGGUUUGGAGCCGUUAGCGGGAGAGGCAGAGAUAUUCAGAGGUCUUUUAGGAUGCGCUAAAGGGUCGUGAGGGCUCUCUUAAAAUUUUCUUCACAAGCGGUUAUCCAGUCGUGCCCCGCGGCCCUGCUGCUGGCCCCGGGGAUCUGAGUCGUACCCUCUUGUUUUUCUCUGAGUCAGUCUUAAGGUGAAAUGAAGUGUGGCCCAGUGGCUCCUCACUGUCGCUUCUCUAGUUUUCUGCCUCCUUUUAGAAAAUGUGCUAAAGAACAUACAGACACAGAGCAGACAGGCCACCUUUGCAACCACAUGGAGGUUUGUCUGAUAUUGAAGCUAAAGAAGCUAAGCUGGAAGACAGAGAGACCAAGUCCUGAUGACAUUGUUUGAACCCAGAGAUCCAGACAUGCCUGAAAACUAGUUUUACCACUGGACUUAUCCGUUGAAUGAGCCAAUAAACUCUCUUUUAUACUUAACCUUGGGUUUUACCUGGAUUUUUGUCAUUGACAGCUCAAAAUAUUCUAAUAUAGAAGUAUACAUCAUUAAAUCAACAUUUCUUUUUUUCUCUGUCUUAUUUUAAAUGUAACUCUAUAAGGUACUCUAAAAGUAUUCUACAGUCUCACUAAGUUAAUCUGCAAAUUUGGUAAAAUUCCAAUAUUAAUCCCAAAAGUAUUUUAAGAGCUUGUUUUUGUUGUUUGCUUGUUUGGGACUAAACAGAAUUACUCCAAAAUUCAUUGAGAGAAAAAAAAACAUGAAAAAAAAAACAAGAAAAUAGAAUUCAUAAAAGGAAAUUGUAUUAUAUAACAAAGCAUAAAACAAGAAUAAUAAACAUAGAGUGGUAAUGGAAUAAAUAAACAGUCAUGGAACAGAAUUCAAAGCCUGAAUAUAUCUAAGAGCACUUACCAAAUUUAAUAUGUGGUACAUCAAGAAAAGAUUAAUCCAGUAAAGUAUAUAAGUACAUUGAGCUAGAUUUAGAGGAGAAAGAUAAUUAGAUCGUUACCUUAUUCCCAGAAUAAAUUUCAAAUGGAUUUGUGACUUAAGUGUAAAAAUUGAAGCCAGAUUCUCAAUAUACAUUGAUUGGCAUAUAAUUGGCACAGUCUUUAGCAAUAUCAAUUAAAUGUUAAAUAUUAAUAACAACACAGCCUUUCAAUUCUAGAAAUAUAUCCUACAGAAACAAAAUAUAUGUAUAAAUAUAGAUAAUGCAGUAUUGGAAUAUCAAAAGUAGUACACAUAUGAAAUAGGAUAUGGAAUACCUAUAUCAUGAAUUCACGGGGUGGCAACAUCGCAACAAGGAGGUGAAAAUUGAUUCUUGAGGGAAAUUUUUUUUUCUAAAGCAUAGAUAUGUGUGUAAAGCACAUAAACAAAUAUACAGUAUAUAUGUGGUAUUGAAACUUCAUGGGAGAGUAAUAAUUAAGAAAAAAAUGUCUACACUGGGUGCAGUGGCUCAUGCCUGUUAUCCCAACACUUCGAAAGGCCAAGGUGGGUGGAUCAUGAGGUCAGGAGUUCAAGACCAGCCUGGCCAAGAUGGUGAACCCGCAACUGUACUAAAAAUACAAAAAUUAGCCGGGCAUGGUGGCAGGCGCUUGUAAUCCCAGCUACUCAGGAGGCUGAGGCAGGAGAAUCGCUUGAACCUGGGAGGUAGAGGUUGCAGUGAUCCAAAAUCACGCAACUGCACUCCAGCCUGGGUGACAAAGUAAGACUCCAUCUCAAAAAAGAAAAAAGAAAAAA
Homo sapiens (human) is the source of this 1830-nucleotide long non-coding RNA. Ensembl annotates it as GIHCG inhibitor of miR-200b/200a/429 expression. Its record names the gene GIHCG. NCBI's taxonomy places the organism in Eukaryota, Metazoa, Chordata, Mammalia, Primates, Hominidae. The record is from Ensembl.